Molecule: ribosomal RNA, 337 nt
Filed under: Ostrea edulis (European flat oyster)
Lineage: Eukaryota; Metazoa; Mollusca; Bivalvia; Ostreida; Ostreidae
Description: partial 16S ribosomal RNA
Rfam family: Bacterial large subunit ribosomal RNA (bases 1-293)
Source: RNAcentral
UUUAGGAGUUUCAGAUUUUUAGGUGGGGCACCUAUUAAGUAAUAUUAACCUUAGUGUACGAUAAAACUUUCAAGUAUAGACCCGACAAUGUCGAUCAUAGGAGAAGUUACGCCGGGGAUAACAGGCUAAUCCACUAGUAGAGAACGUAUUGGCUAGUGGGAUUGGUACCUCGAUGUUGAAUCAGGGAUGAUACCUCUAAGGCGUAGAAGCUUUGGAAGUGGGUCUGUUCGACCUUUAAUACCCUACGUGAUUUGAGUUCAGACCGGCGUAAGCCAGGUCGGUUUCUAUCUUCUUUUUGAAUAUUCUUUUAGCAUGUACCUCGGCCGGGACCACGCAU